This is a non-coding RNA of Coturnix japonica (Japanese quail), 3944 nucleotides long. The record is from RefSeq and is a predicted model, not a curated record. NCBI's taxonomy places the organism in Eukaryota, Metazoa, Chordata, Aves, Galliformes, Phasianidae.
GGCGGUACUUCCGGUCUCCCACUUCCGGUCCCGUCGCUGCGGCUGCUCGGGGUGGCAGCGCCGUUCGGGCCCGUCCCGCUCCGUGCCCGCAUGCAGCGCCGCGAUGAGUCCAACGCCCGCAUGGGCCGCGGGCCGGGGGGACCCGGGGGAUCCCGCCAAGGGGGGCCCAACCCGCGGCGGUCUCCCCGGGGCGGGGGGGGCCGUGGGGCCCAGCAGCCGCAGCCGCUGCUGACCGGCGGAGGGGCGGCAGGCUCCUCUGGCUCGCAAGGCCCCGCCGCCGCCUCCCCCGCCCCGCUGCUGACAGGGGGAAACAACAAGAUGGAGCCCGAGAACAAAUACCUGCCCGAGCUGAUGGCCGAGAAGGACAGCCUGGACCCGUCCUUCACUCACGCCAUGCAGCUCCUCAGCGCAGAAAUUGAAAAAAUUCAGAAGGGUGAAACAACAAAGAAGGAUGAGGAAGAGAACUACCUGGAUUUAUUUUCUCACAAGAAUAUGAAACUGAAAGAACGAGUUCUGAUACCUGUCAAACAGUACCCCAAGUUCAACUUUGUUGGAAAGAUUUUGGGACCUCAAGGUAACACCAUCAAGAGGCUUCAGGAAGAAACUGGUGCUAAGAUCUCUGUGCUCGGGAAGGGUUCGAUGCGAGAUAAGGCAAAGGAGGAAGAGCUGCGUAAAGGGGGAGACCCUAAAUAUGCUCAUCUAAAUAUGGAUUUGCAUGUCUUCAUUGAAGUCUUUGGGCCCCCUUGUGAAGCAUAUGCUCUGAUGGCUCAUGCCAUGGAAGAAGUCAAGAAGUUCCUUGUCCCAGAUAUGAUGGAUGAUAUCUGUCAGGAGCAAUUCUUGGAGCUCUCCUACCUGAACGGUGUACCAGAGCCAACUCGUGGCCGAGGAGGCCCUGUGCGGGGAAGGGGAGCAGCUCCACCACCACCUCCACCUGUUCCAAGGUACCUUUCCCAAAAGCAUGGACCUGGAAAUGCUGCAUCUUGCUCAGAGUGGUGCUGCGAGAUCAGGGGGCGUGGUGUCGGUCCUCCCCCUCCGCCGCCUCCUCCCCGGGGGGCCAUGGUGCGAGGAGCCCCGGUGCGUGGUGCCAUUGCCCGGGGAGCAGCUGUAGCCCGUGGGGUGCCUCCCCCCCCAGCAGUCCGGGGUGCUCCUGCACCCAGAGCACGUGCAGCCGGCAUCCAGCGGAUACCACUUCCUCCUCCUCCCGCGCCAGAAACCUACGAGGAAUACGGUUAUGAUGAUGCAUAUGCAGACCAGAGCUAUGAGGGCUACGAAGGCUACUACAGCCAGGGCCAAGGGGACACAGAAUACUAUGAUUAUGGACACGGGGAGGCACAGGAAACCUAUGAAGCUUAUGGCCAAGAUGACUGGAAUGGUACCAGGCCCUCCCUGAAGGCCCCGCCAGCCCGGCCGGUGAAGGGCGCCUACAGAGAGCACCCAUACGGACGUUACUAAAAACAAAAUGAGGGAAAAAUAGCAGUUAUGAGCAAACAGUUGUUACUGAUUCUUGUAUCUCCCAGGAUUCCUGUUGCUUUGCCCACACCAGACAAGAGCGCAGAGCGGCUGGCGAUGGACCCAGGGGUGAAGGCGAGGAGGGGCAGCGCAGUGGGUGAGUCUGUCUGCUUCUUUGUGCCACUUACUGCAAGCUUUGAACACGUUCUGUGUGGGCAGAGGGGGCAGCACCAUCUGAGCUGUUACAUUGGAGCCGUUCUUUACGUACCCACAAAUAAAUGGGUGCUGGGAAGGGCAGCUCCAGCAGUGAUGCUGUGGUCAGGGUUAGAGCUGGUUGCUGGCUGAGAUGCUGGCUUUCAUGUGAGCACUCAUAGCUGCAAGGUAGCGCUGAAGUUGUUGCUACCUGGUGCUCUAGAAACAGGGCAGCCCAAGGAAAUAUAGAAAUGCAGAAUGAUGGAAUGGCUGGGUUGGAAGGUGCCUUACAGCCCAUGCAGUCCCAACCUCUGCCAUGGGCUGGCUGCCCCCCAGCUCAGGCUGCCCACGGCUGCUCUGUGGCCUCGAGCACCUCCAUGGAUGGAUGCCCACAGCUCUGGGCAGCACUGCUGGGGUCUCACUGCCCUUUAGGGAGAGAUUUUCAUCCUGGUCUCUCCGCUCAGCAGUGCUGGUGAUGGGGUUCCCUCUGGUGGCCGCUGUGGCUGCAGCAAUUCGUUCUGUAAGUGCCUUCAUAAAUGCAGCACGUGCUCGCAGGCCAUGCAGGGCUGUGCUUGGGGUGCUGAGCUGUGCUUGGGGUGCUGAGCUCCGGCAUCACGCUGCACUGACCCGUUCAUGCAGCAAGGACGUGUCUCCCCUGCGGCCCCAAAGGCAGCAGCCCCAAGUGUGUCCUCUGGGGACAGCUCUGUUGGCUUCUCUCAUAUCUUGAGAUCGCUGUAAGCCUGAGCUCCAGAAAUCAGAGAACAAAGAAAUCAGCCUUUGUGCUGCUGGAGAAGUGUAACGGCUUCAAAAGAGCGCUGUGCAAAGCGCUGGGAGCAGGAUGUAGAAGGGCGUAAGACUUAUUUUAUAUGGAAAUGCAGAGCUACCCAACGAGCUUCUCUUGAGAGCGUUAGGAACAAGAAAAUGGUUAUGUGUGGAAAUAGUGAGUGAGAUUACCCGCAAUUCUCUGCCUUUAACUUGAAAAUUGGAGCUGUAAUUCUGUUAGGGAAAGGCAUCGCUUCUGGAAUCCAGGGGACUGUUUGUGUGAUGCAUCUCCAUUACAACGCGACUGAAACGUCAGCUUAGAUGGGGCUGUUCCAAUCUUGGCCAUUUCUUUCUUAAUAGGCCCAACUUUUAUAUCGAGUGGGAAAGCUUUGAUAGAGAUCAUCUAUUACAAUGCAGUUUUUUAGCUGUAGGAGUGGAUCUUGUGGCACUGCCUUUGGGGUUGCACAGCUUGCUCGUUCAUCACAUUUAUUGCUUGUUUAUGUGAAGAUGUUGAAUGUUACGGGGCAGUGUAACUCUUACUAUAUUGCAAAUAACUGCAUAUGCUAAAAAUAUUCCAAAAGCACAGCCUGUAUCAAGGAGCUUCCUUCCUUCCUUGCCCCACAUCGCUGCUCUGAGGAGCCCAUGUGGGCAGGGGGCAGCUGGCACAGACCCCUGGGGGGGGGCAGCAGCUGUGGGUGUGUGCUGGGAGCUGAGCUGAGCAGGAGGUGCCGUUACAGAGCCCAGCCACGAGGGCUGUGAGUGCAGAUGGUGCUUGUGGGGAGUGCGGCACAGCUUGGGGAAAUGCUGCCGUCACUGGGAAACCUUCAGCACGUCGGGUGAGAUGUUGGACACGAGCCCUGCUGGUAAGAUUGGAGGGGGAAGGAUGUCUGCAGCCAUUCAGGCCGGUGGGGAUCUGCCAUCUCCAAUGUAGAUGUUAUUCCUCUUCUCAGGAAGCUCAGAUCCCAGGAGCGCAGAGCAGAACCCUUUGCUGUCGUUGCUCAGCGGAGCCAUAUGUUCCAAUAGAGAUGUUUGUUUCCACGCUCACUUUGCUCCUUUGGCUGCAUUGCAUUCAGAUGCUGAAGGAACGAGCUCCAGGAGCCCUUUACUGCGAGUUGGAAGAAGCCAAGUGCCAGCUCUGCUCCUCCAGCUGCCUCCAAACUGCAGAGGGGCAGCAUCAGAGCACAGCCUGCACAUGGAGCUGGAUAUGGAACCAAGCAAAGCUGUGCCUGCACUGUGCCACCACGAGCUGCUCCUGUGCAACACUUCUCUACUGCUGCUGCUGCAGGACGGGGUUCUGCCGCGUUUAGGAUGCUGCUGGGAUCCUAAAGCAAUGAGGAACAGAAGAUGCUCCUGUGCAGGGCUGUGAGCUUAGGAGAGGGCAGCAGGACUGUGAGCUGCUCCAUGGGAAGCACAGGAGGCAGAUGGAGGAUGUUAAUAUUGGGGUGGAUGUUGUUAGGGGCUGUACAGCAGAGCAGCCCCUGGGACUGUAACUGCUGGCGAUGUUAAUAAAGACCGAACACGGACCUUUUGGCCGCCAAACA